RNAcentral lists this long non-coding RNA (211 nucleotides) under Medicago truncatula (barrel medic). RNAcentral describes it as "lncRNA gene40744". The record is from RNAcentral. Lineage: Eukaryota; Viridiplantae; Streptophyta; Magnoliopsida; Fabales; Fabaceae.
UUUGUGAGACACUAGCAUUUUCAUCUUGUGCUGCACUUGCACAAGGAGCUAGCUUAAAUGCUUCCAUAUCUGGUGUAGUACCUCUUCCACAUUCACCAGCACUUUCAACACUAUGAAUACCUGCAACAAGGACUACAAAACCAACAAGGCACAGCAUCUUCAUAAGACCCUCCAUUUUUUCUUCUUCUUAAUAUAUAUCUUAGAUAAUUAA